CACAAUCUCUUUGUCCCGACAAACCUCAA
RNAcentral lists this small nuclear RNA (29 nucleotides) under Phaeodactylum tricornutum CCAP 1055/1. Its description in RNAcentral is "snRNA PTsRNA00010a". The record is from RNAcentral. Lineage: Eukaryota; Bacillariophyta; Bacillariophyceae; Surirellales; Neidiaceae.